UAUUUUUCCCUUUUUUGGAAACUCUUAGAUCCAGCUUCACCUCAUGGCACUCGACAGAAGAUCAAAAGUCAGAUUUGGGGAAAAUGGCUGUCUGGGUUCUGUCUGCAAAAGCAUUUGUUUGCUGAAUCCCUGACCUACAUUCUCAUUCACCACGAAGCAGAACCCUUUGGGCUUUGGGUCAGAACCAAAAGCACAUAACUGGAAGCACCAUGUUGCCCUUGUUCUCCCAAUGUCUGUCUGUUUCUCUCUUUGACCUGAUGGAGACAAGGAUACUGAAUGAGCAGAGGGUAACCUAUUUACAAACUCUCAUUUCCUCAAACCAUCAAUGAGGCGGUUGGCAAUUGAUGCCACGGAAAGAAUUAUUAAUAUAUGUGUCAGGGAAAAUAAAUGGAUCGAUACUGUCUGUGUGAUAUAUGGUGCUGCACUUCAUCUUUACCAUAUAAACAGCUGUCUAAUUCUGCUCUGGAUAGAUGCACGGAGGUUUUCGAUGCGGUCAAGUUUCUGACAUUUGUUGAAAUGUUGAAAAUGUUUAUCAGAAAUCAUCUUGUUUCUGUGAUUAUGACUGGGAACGUAUCUGGGCCUUCUUUUAAAUGCUCUGCUGACAUUUUCAUUUUGUGUUAUGACGCAGAGAUAAUCAAUAGAGAUUUUUGUAUUUGCCAAAGUAAACGCGUCUAUUCUCCAAUG
This is a long non-coding RNA of Rhinichthys klamathensis goyatoka, 684 nucleotides long. RefSeq lists it as uncharacterized. The record is from RefSeq and is a predicted model, not a curated record. NCBI's taxonomy places the organism in Eukaryota, Metazoa, Chordata, Actinopteri, Cypriniformes, Leuciscidae. The transcript is spliced from 2 exons.